Molecule: long non-coding RNA, 2677 nt
Organism: Bactrocera neohumeralis
Lineage: Eukaryota; Metazoa; Arthropoda; Insecta; Diptera; Tephritidae
Exons: 3
Source: RefSeq, a predicted model, not a curated record
CACCUAUUGGCUAAAAUGAUUCUGCGUUGGAUUUCGAGACUGACAUUGUGUUCAUGCUGGUACCAAAUAGGCGAAAUUAUGUACGACUUCAAAAUUAUGAAUAUCAAAAGUGACGUGCGAGCCAAGUCGCGUAUGCGAUGACUGUUUGUUUGAUGACAGGAGAUAUUUCGUCUUGUCUUCGUUCCUAACCAGACCCAUAAGCUGUAAACUCUUAUAGAAGAUUGUACCUACUCUAUUUAACUCUGCUGCUCUUAUUAUUUUCUCCAACAAUAGAUUGAAGAAGUCACACAAUAAGAGUAUACUUGUCUGAAAGCUCGCUUUGUACCGAACGGCUCGAAGAGGUCCUUCAUAAUCCGGACGGAGCUUCUGGUUUUGCUCAACCUCAGCUUAAACAGCCGAAGUCAGAUAUAUGAUUAUAUAUAUAUAGUGUAAGUGAUGAGGAUGCCGAGGCGAGUUAAAAUCCGUCUGUCUGCCCGUGCAAGCUGCAACUUGUGUCAAAAUUUACUUAUCGUAAUAAAAUUCUGGAUACUUGUUCCUUGACAAGAAAAAUAAGGAGGAUUUGUAGAUGGCGUAAUCAUACCACUGUCACACCUCGGUGAAAAUCUAUAUCUCAGGACCUACUCUACUGAUAUACACCAAAUUCGUAUACAAAUCAAGAACCAAUCAAUAGAUCCGCAUACAACUUUGCAGAAUUAGUGUCCUCAUGGUAUUUCAUUUUUCGCCGAAAAGUUGUCGAAAUAUGGACGAUAACUCUUCAAGAACCCUAACGUGAGAUAUGUGGACCCAAACGCGAAUGGCUGAUUCUUCCCGAAAAUAUCGGUCAAUCUGUGGAUAUACUGCUAAAAUUCGUGGAAAAUGUUUAUUUGAUAAUAAUAUACUGUUCUCUAUAGAAUGGUUUGAAACGGAUCAAUACUUUCCUUAGCUCUCAUAUACCUAAUAUAAAGAUUUUCGAACUUCCAGUUCGCUUAAUGCCACAUAUAUCGGUCAGUAUGAGAGUUAUUUUAAUGAAAUUGAGAGAGCGUAUUUUUCUAAUAACAGUGUAUCUUUGUACCAAAAAUGGAUAAAAUCGGGGGACAAAUUUCCUUUGCCGCCAUAUAACUUGCAUUCAGGAUUUUGAAACGUCUGGUUGAUCUUAGCAGUGGUCGCUUAUAGGCCGCCGAACAUCUGAACGAAAAAUGAUGAAAUGAAAAACCAUUAGCUGCAUACUUUGGCUGUACUUCUUCGAUAAGGACAGUCAAAAAUUAGUUUAAUGUUUCUCGAUUACACUCGAUCUACUACGGCACUCCAAAAAGGAUCAUUCACUGUCGCACUUAUUUGGGCUGUUCCGUGGAUGAAACUUAAAAAUAAGUCUCUACUAGAAGCUAUAGUCGGCGCAAUAACCUAUGGUUGAAAAAAUCACAAAAUAUCGGAGUUCAAAACAAUUCAAAUUUACCAAAAAUUUUGCCUGCCGAAACUGGUAGGUCACUGUAUGGAUGACUAUAAACGGAACAUGCAGAAAAAUUGAUAGUGAUCAGAUUAUUUGUAUCCGAGUAAUCACUCAAGUAAGUUUGAAAAAAAUAUAGUUUUGGAAUAAAGAUAAAGUGAUGAAGAACUGCGAGGCUACAAAUUAGAAGGCUAUAACUCAAAAAUUAUUUGAAGUAACGCUUUAAAAAUUUAUUGUCCGGAAAAUGAUUGUAACGUGAGCCCAACAUCACAAAAAUCACCGAUCUCGUAUUGGCAGACGUUUCAUGGUUAUGGACGAAACAUGGAGUGGAGGCCAAUACACUUUUGUCGGCACAUCAGCAGAGUAUCAACAAAUAUGCAACACAGUUGCUGUACUGCUGCAAUUAUUACGAAGCUCGAACGCACCCGAUGUUUUCCUGGGAUUUACAAGAUGUGACCUACAUCGGUUACCUGUGUAAGGGGAAAACGCUUACAGGGUUCAAAAAUGCCGAUUUCGACGCCGAACUGCGAAGAAAAAGACCCCACUUGGUGAAGAAAAAGUACUCUUCAAACGUGUACCUACAUUUCAGGGUAUACGUUAUUAAAUAGUAGUGUAAAUAGUUGAUUUUAAGGAUAAUUGUACAUGGGCAAGUUCAGUAUGCUAUGCUAUGUCUCUUAGAUUUAACGCUUUGGUCCUACAUUGAUUUAAAGUAAGAUACUAAUGGUGAUAUACUACUAUGAGUCAAAAAUUAUAAGACUUUGUUCAAAAUUUUAAAAUUCUUAAAUUAUUCUUUAAAAUUUAUUUCGUCCCCCUCAAAGUAAUCCCAGUUGGCACCAAUACAUUUGUGCCAAUAUUAUUUCCAAUCCUCGAAACAGUUCUUUAAGUCAAUUUCCGGAAUAGCCUUCAAUGCGCGUAGCUAUUCAAGUUUAAUAUCUUCAAUUGAAUCAAAACGGUUUCCUUUGAGUUUACUGAAUAGCCAGAAGUCCCACUGUGCUAAAUAAGGCAACUACGGUGGUCGAUAUUUAUUGAAAAUUUGGCAAACAACUCACGAAGAACCAAUGCGGUAUGCGACGGUGCCUUAUCGUGAUGCAAAAACCAAGAGUUUUCAGCCCAUAACUCCCCGUCUUAUUACGACUAACUUGGCGCAAAUGACGCCUAACACUCAAAUAGUAUUCGGUGUUGAGAGUUUGGACCGUCGGAAGAAAUUUGGAGUGCAACACACCUCGAUAAUCGAAGAUACUGUAGCAUAACCUU